Heterocephalus glaber (naked mole-rat) is the source of this 738-nucleotide long non-coding RNA. The record is from Ensembl. NCBI's taxonomy places the organism in Eukaryota, Metazoa, Chordata, Mammalia, Rodentia, Bathyergidae.
CUGCGGGCCGGUGCGGGGAGGAGCUCCGGGCGGCUCCGAGUGGUGACGGCGCAGGCCCGGCGCCCAGGGGGAGCUCAGAGACGCCUGCCGGGCUGCAUUGCCCGCUAUGCGGAGCCAGAUAGAAUCUUGCUAAACUGCCCAGGCUGAACUUGAACUCAUGGUCUUCUGCCUCAGUCUCCAGAGGAGCUAGACUUACAGGAAUCAAACUUGGGUCCUUGUGCUUGUGAGGCAGGCGGCAAAACCACUGAGCUAAAUCCCUGGCCCACUCUAUUUUAAUAUUUAAGACAUUUUAAUAUUUAAAACACUUCUAAAAAUCCAACCUACCAAUAUUAACCUAAAUAGCUAUGUGUGGGUAGACUAUUCUCACUUAAGUUUUCCUUACUGCUGGACAUUUACUUUGCUUUCAGAUCCUAUGCUAUUGUGUGUAAAGCUGCAGUCAACAUCUUUGUACAUAAAAUUGAUCCAUGCCCAUGAUUAUUGCCUUAGGAUGAAGUUCUAGAAGUAGAAUUCCUGGGCCAAAGGUUUUAAGCAUUGCUACACUAUCUUCAAGAAACAGGCCCAUCCCUCAACAUUGUAUUAAGGAUUUUUUUUUUAGUUUUGUUUGUCUGCUUGUUUUAGACAGUGUCAAGCUAUGUAGUUCAGGUUUGCCUUGAACUCAUGAUGUGGCCUAGGCUGGCUUCAAACUCCUGGGCCUCCUGUCCCAGCCUCCUGAGUGCUGGGAUUACAGGUGUGCACCAC